CAACGUGAGUUUCUCUCAUUUUUGAUGAGAUAACAAGAAAGGCAGCUUCGUUUACAAAAAGCUUCUCUCUUGUUCUGCCAAGUAAUCCUUGUUACUGGGGAAAGCCCCUCUGGAACACUCAGCAAUGGCUCCCAGCCCAGCCCAAAGAGUCCUAAACUCACAGCCAGUGGAGGAAAGUGCACAGA
Long non-coding RNA from Serinus canaria (Common canary), 185 nucleotides. RefSeq lists it as uncharacterized. NCBI's taxonomy places the organism in Eukaryota, Metazoa, Chordata, Aves, Passeriformes, Fringillidae. The record is from RefSeq and is a predicted model, not a curated record. The transcript has 3 exons.